UAUUUAGGAAUUUAGAAGAUUGUUAGAAGAGCAAAAGUCAA
Molecule: small RNA, 41 nt
Filed under: Arabidopsis thaliana (thale cress)
Lineage: Eukaryota; Viridiplantae; Streptophyta; Magnoliopsida; Brassicales; Brassicaceae
Description: ATSL294000
Source: RNAcentral